GCCCAGAACACACAUUUUCAAAGGAGAAUAACUGACUGUAGCAUUGUUUUUCAGAUAAACAGGACAGUGCAGAGACGACAGAAAGCAAAGUGGAAGAGAAAGAGCUGGACAGGAUCAGGAAAGGUCCGCGAGCCUGGACUUGAACUCGGGAUGCCUAAAGCACAACGGCGUGGUGUAAAUACAUAAGCACAGGUGGGAGAGGGGCCUGCAAGGACAUGACUCUCUGUUUUAUGUGGGUAACCUCACACAAACACAGACAUACUGCACAUGGCACAUAAGGUUUUGUUGUUUGAACUCAUCCUUUGGUGUUUUUUAGACGUAUAGAGCUCUUCAUGCCAUUUGGAGUGAAAAAAUAUCAAUGCUGUCCUUGCUAAUGUCAUCCAAUGUUCCCACUCGCUUUGUAUAAAUUGAU
This is a long non-coding RNA of Cyprinus carpio carpio, 412 nucleotides long. The record is from Ensembl. NCBI's taxonomy places the organism in Eukaryota, Metazoa, Chordata, Actinopteri, Cypriniformes, Cyprinidae.